Molecule: long non-coding RNA, 783 nt
Organism: Panicum virgatum (switchgrass)
Lineage: Eukaryota; Viridiplantae; Streptophyta; Magnoliopsida; Poales; Poaceae
Exons: 3
Source: RefSeq, a predicted model, not a curated record
UCACUAUUGAAGUCGUCUAACGUGGCCAUCACUUUAAUUUUUUCUCUUGAAGUUCUCAUCUUCCCUUCUUGCAGUAAGCAAGUUUACUCUCUAGAAUAGCUGUCUACCUCCUCCAUGUCAUUCAAGUAAAGGAAGGAACACUGCUUGAACUCUAAUGGCAGAGAUAUCGGUUCUGCAGUUGUCCAAGAGACAGUUAGCCAAAUCCUAUCUGGUCUUGUUCAAAAAUAUGAGAUGAAAGAGGAAUUAAUUUUCAGCAGAAACUUGGAGAGGCUAGAGAUGGCACACAUCAAGAUGGAGGCUGCUCUUGAAACAUCAGAAAAGUGGCAGGUUACUGAUGGAUCCUUGUUGCGUUGGCGUAGGAAGCUCAAGCGUGCUGCUCAAGAGUGUGAUGACAUGCUGCACAAAUGCAAGCUGAGAAUCCUAGAAAAGGAACAGAUGGAACAGGAGGAAAGAAACUACAUCAUAAAAUCAUUCGGGGAAACAAAUAUCCUUCCUGUCAACUAUUGUUGGAGCCCAUCCGUACUUCAAUGGAUGGAACAAAUGUUGUCUUGACAUUUGUUCAGUACGAUGGUACACCAGAGGGCCAUAUAGUAUUUUGUUUGGUCAUACAACUCUCAGAGAGUACAGAUAUAUUUGGUAUCGCACUUAGAUGCUUGCAGUUUUUUGCCCCUCAUUUUAAAUGUAAUUUUGAAAAUGUAAGGAAUGAACUUACUCAACUGCCCGCUCAAGAAUUCUCAUGGGGGCCAUCUAUUUACUCAUCAUACCAUAAGAAACACUGGGACA